UACGUAGGGUGCAAGCGUUGUCCGGAAUUAUUGGGCGUAAAGCGCCCGCAGGCGGCUUGAUAAGUUUCAGGUGAAAUCUCCUGGCUUAACUGGGAGGGGUCCUGGAAAACUGUCAGGCUUGAGGCAGGGAGAGGGAUGUGGAAUUCCCGGUGUAGUAGUGAAAUGCGUAGAUAUCGGGAGGAAUACCAGUGGCGAAGGCGGCAUCCUGGCCCUGUCCUGACGCUCAGGGGCGAAAGCGUGGGGAGCAAACCGG
RNAcentral lists this ribosomal RNA (253 nucleotides) under uncultured bacterium. RNAcentral's name for it is "partial 16S ribosomal RNA". It matches the Rfam family "Bacterial small subunit ribosomal RNA", at positions 524 to 776 of the family's 1533-position model. The record is from RNAcentral.